AUUGAACGCUGGCGGCAUGCUUUACACAUGCAAGUCGAACGGCAGCGCGGGCUUCGGCCUGGCGGCGAGUGGCGAACGGGUGAGUAAUGCAUCGGAACGUGCCCAGUAGUGGGGGAUAGCCCGGCGAAAGCCGGAUUAAUACCCAUACGACCUGAGGGUGAAAGCGGGGGACCGAAAGGCCUCGCGCUAUUGGAGCGGCCGAUGUCGGAUUAGCUAGUUGGUGGGGUAAAGGCUUACCAAGGCGACGAUCCGUAGCUGGUCUGAGAGGACGACCAGCCACACUGGGACUGAGACACGGCCCAGACUCCUACGGGAGGCAGCAGUGGGGAAUUUUGGACAAUGGGGGCAACCCUGAUCCAGCCAUGCCGCGUGCGGGAAGAAGGCCUUCGGGUUGUAAACCGCUUUUGUUCGGGAAGAAAUCCUCUGGGCUAAUACCCCGGGGGGAUGACGGUACCGGAAGAAUAAGCACCGGCUAACUACGUG
RNAcentral lists this ribosomal RNA (483 nucleotides) under uncultured bacterium. RNAcentral describes it as "partial 16S ribosomal RNA". It matches the Rfam family "Bacterial small subunit ribosomal RNA", at positions 28 to 507 of the family's 1533-position model. The record is from RNAcentral.